UGACACAUACAAACUGAAGAGAAGUGUGGUGCUGAUUCAUAUGUAUAUACAGGAGAUGCAAGUGCCACCAAGAUAGAUAGUUUCAGUCAAAGUAAAAAAACAAUUGGACACAUACAAACUGAAGCAAACCGUCAUGCUUUUUCAUGUGUACAUACAAAAGAUGCAAGUGGUAUCCAGAAUUUGGAUAUAGGUAGUACGCUCAUGUGGUGAAUUUUGUGAAUCUAUACUCUGCAUCUACCAAAAGGACCGCUCCCCUCACAUGCAAAUAUAAUUCAGUCCAAUGGCUUUCUUCUCCCCUCACAUGCAUAAGACAAGAGCAGACCAUCUAAACAGGCGGAUCAGACCUUCACCAUGGGAGGGAGGCGAGUGCUACCUGUUGCCGUGCCAUCGUCGAGAUCGGGUGGUCCUCCUCCUCGAGCAAGACAAGGUUGUUCCUCCCCUACACUCCAAUGGCCAUCUUCUCCAAGGACAUCUACAAGGGCAGAACACACCAUUGAUGCAAGUGCCACCAAGAUAGUUUCAGUCAAAGUUAAAGCAAAUGUAAACAUGCAAACUGAACCAAACCGAGGUGCAUAUUCAUAUGUGUGUGUAUGUAGAGAUGCAAGUGCCAUCUGAAUUUUGGGGAACCAAAGCGUGGUUGUUGUUGUUGCUAAUCGAGGAGCAAGUUGUUUUAGCAACAGCACAUACUAGUAAUUAGCUAGGACCAUUAUUAUUGCACAACCAUUCGAGGACGGUGGCAGACACAUCAACUCACAAGGCUCUACUGGAGAAACAAAAUAAUAGGAUAUGUGAUGCUAUCAAUCUUAGCACAAGAAGAAAAAAACACAGCCACUCCGAUAGAAUGGAUGGAUGCAUCAUGCACAAUCAUCGGUUCCAUCAUUGCAGCACUAGUUGAGCAACAAAUCAAAAAUAACAGUAGUUCCAUUGGUUCAGCCAACAAGUUAACAAAAGUUUACUUCCCACUACUAAUUUUGCAACUUGUCAUAAUAAAGAAAACAGAGCUCGACAUCACAGAAACAAAUAAAUAAUGACCCGCUGUACUACAUAUAUCUGUAAAGGACUUCUUGAGAGAUGAUAUUAUUACCAAUGAAGAAAAAUUAAGAUCAAGGCUCCAGUACAUCAGCGGUACCUACCUGUGCAUCAAAGAAGAGAUGGAUAAUCAAUUUUAUGUAGGUAAUACCAAAUAAAGGAUCAAAUUUAAGUUCAUUCAAAUUGAUGCAUAUGUGGGUUGGCAGAAACAAAAAAAGAAUAUAUAUAAAUAGAUCUACAGAUAUGAACAAAAUGGCAAAUGUGAAAGAAAAUAGCGCAGAUAAAAUGUUGAUUGUUUUGGAAGAUCCAAAGGUACAUAUGAUCAAUUAAUCAUACCUGGGAAUCUGAACAUAUUAAUGCGAAAUAGUAACUGACUAUAGCAAAUGAUAUUGAGAUAGAAAAAAUUGCUACCUAGAGUCCUUGACUCAACCGAGAGAUCUAUGGGAACCAAAAUUUUACAUGCAAUUUAUCCAUGUUCAGGUAAUACAAAAUAUGCAGAGUAAUUAAAUUGUGUAGUAGCUAGCCCAUAUAUAAAACUAAAGGUAGAAACUGGAGUAAUGAAACAUAUCUGGAUUGAUGUGCAAAUGCUAUAGCGACUUACAUGCUUGGAUUCAAUAAUUAUGAAGAAGCAGAUUAGUGUGAUGCAUAUGCAUGUUCGUGAGAACAGAUCUAGGGGAACAACAAAGUAACCUGCACUUCCUCUAAUUUAUUAAUCACAUGCUCUUUGACUAACCAUCCAAAAAAUAUAGAUCAAGGAUGAUACUGCCAGCCACCUGCGGGGAGUAAGAAUGAGUAGUUUCUGCUAAUUAGAGGACAAACUAAAAAAAAGCUAACUAGAGAUUUGCUCUCUCUGUGUGUACGUUGUGCUCUGGCCGGUGGGGGAAUGAUAAAAAAUCAACUACUGCUAUGUAUGUUAGCUUGUCCAUCAGGAUAGAUCAAACUAGCUACCGGUGAAGGAUAUAUCUAGCUUCGUGACUUAAGAGAACCACAGCUAGGUUGCGUCGGCAAGGAGUGGGUUUGGCUCAGCGUUGCGUCGACUUUCAUCACCUUCUACUCCACCUCGCUCAUCAUCUCCGUUCGAGUUGUAGCAGCAAAAUUAACCAAUCCCUAUUGGUACUAUCUAACUAAAGAACCAGGAUUCUAAACUCAUCUUCUCUCUCUGUUUGGUACUAACUAGACAAAUAAAUAAAUAAAGGACUUGUUCAUACAAAUCCCUUUAGAAUUCCUUCACACAAGAGGAUUUGCAUCACAUAUUCCUCUACUUAGCAGUAGCAGUAGUGAUCAGAGGAAGGAGGCGGAGGAGAUGGAGGUGCUACCUGCCGAGGUGGGUCGUCGUGGCCGUGCUUGAGCUAGACAGCCCGCCUCCUCGAGCAGGACAGGGCCGCCAGCUAGGUGCGCCAGUAGGAAGGACGGCGCCCUCCUGCCGUCGUCGUCGUCCAGACCGCGCCAAGGUGACCUGCAGCAAGGGAAGGAAAGGAGAAGGUGAGGUGGGGAGGGUGGAUCUGGGCGAGGAAAGAGGGGAAGGACGUACCUGUGACACACCGGUAACGGAUUCGUCGAGCUCUGGCCUCGCCGUCGCCGGAUGUGGCUGAUCCCGGCGAUGUUGGGGGUGGCGGCCGAAACCCUAGCUAGCCACGGGGACAGUGGAGAGCGGGAGCGCCGAUUCUGGAUGGAGGGGGAGGUGGAGCGGACCUAGGGGAGCUCGGGGGCGUGCUGCGCGCCGCCGGAGCUCGCCGGAACUGGG
RNAcentral lists this long non-coding RNA (2773 nucleotides) under Triticum aestivum (bread wheat). RNAcentral's name for it is "long non-coding RNA (TAES_LNC024728)". The record is from RNAcentral. Lineage: Eukaryota; Viridiplantae; Streptophyta; Magnoliopsida; Poales; Poaceae.